CACAGUCGAUCUGUCACUGUGAAUACGGUUCAGUCGGCUCACAGCCCCAGAUCGCCUCCGCGGCGCGAAGGGCGUGAGUAUCGGCGAGAUCAAUAUGGCGACAGGCUCGACCGAGAUGAUAGGCGUCGAGUGCCCUAUUCCCCUCCGAGGGGUGGGUCUUACGCUCCUCGGCAGCCAGAUGAUAGGCGUCAGUACAGUACAGGGCGUAGAGUUCCAGUUGACCCCAGGGAGCCAGGCUUCGACGCGCGAUCCAUUAUCGUGCAAGGGUUGGUCGACCGGAACAGAGCCCAUCGUGGUGCACUCGACAGAGAAGUGCCCACGAGCAGUCGAGUACAUGUUUCUGGUCCUGAAUGUUUCAGCGGAGCUAUCAGAGCCGCUGUUAUUCCCCCCAAUUUCAGGUUGGCAACAGGAGUCAGCAAGUUCACUGGUGAGUCUAAGCCUGAAACUUGGCUUGAAGACUACCGAGUGGCAGUUCAGAUCGGUGGUGGGAACGACGAGGUGGCCAUGAAGCAUUUGCCCCUCAUGUUGGAAGGUUCUGCCAGGGCAUGGUUGACCCAAUUACCUUCUAGCAGUAUUUACACUUGGGAAGAUCUGUCCCGAGUGUUCGUCAGAACGUUCGAAGGGACUUGCAAGCGACCAGCGGGAUUGACAGAGUUGCAAGUCUGCGUGCAGAAAACCAAUGAGACUCUCAGAGAGUAUAUUCAGAGGUGGAUCACUUUGCACCACACUGUGGAAAAUGUCUCUGACCAUCAGGCAGUAUGCGCCUUCAAAGAUGGUGUCAAGAACAGAGAACUGAGCUUGAAAUUUGGUCGAACCGGUGACAUGACCUUGAGUCGGAUGAUGGAGAUUGCUACCAAGUACGCCAACGGCGAAGAAGAAGACCGACUCCGAAGCGGCAAGCACAAGCCGAGUCAGUCGGAAAAAGGAAAUUCCAGUCGGAAACAGAAGCGGAAGGCUGAACCAGCAGCUCCUGGAGAGGCUCUGGCCGUGACUCAAGGAAAGUCUAAGGGGAAACCAAAAGGAUCCUGGAACCCUAAGAAGGUGAAGGAUAAAGAAGGGAACGACGUGAUGGAUAUGCCGUGUCAUAUUCACACGAAGAAAGAUGAAGAGGGGAAUAUCAUUUACCCAAAGCACACCACUCGCCAAUGUCGACUCCUGAUCCAGCAGUUUCAGGGAAAACAGUCUAAGGACAAGGAGAAG
RNAcentral lists this ribosomal RNA (1200 nucleotides) under Triticum aestivum (bread wheat). Its description in RNAcentral is "partial small subunit ribosomal RNA". Lineage: Eukaryota; Viridiplantae; Streptophyta; Magnoliopsida; Poales; Poaceae. The record is from RNAcentral.